GGUGUGGGAGGAGAUUUGGGUAAGUGCAUCUUAAAUAUAUCUAUAUGCAUGUGAUAUGUUUAUACUAUGUUUGAUUAGAAUAAUUUUGUAACUAAUUUUUGAUAACUUUAUGCAGAGGAUGGACGACUUUUCAGAUCAUGAGAAGGCUCGAGAUGCCCGACUGCAGAAGAUUGAAAAGUUAUAUCGGAACUACAAGGUUAAGCUCCACAAUAGG
Molecule: long non-coding RNA, 214 nt
Filed under: Elaeis guineensis (African oil palm)
Lineage: Eukaryota; Viridiplantae; Streptophyta; Magnoliopsida; Arecales; Arecaceae
Description: long non-coding RNA (EGUI_LNC030154)
Source: RNAcentral